Oncorhynchus tshawytscha (Chinook salmon) is the source of this 1559-nucleotide RNA transcript. RefSeq lists it as uncharacterized. The record is from RefSeq and is a predicted model, not a curated record. NCBI's taxonomy places the organism in Eukaryota, Metazoa, Chordata, Actinopteri, Salmoniformes, Salmonidae. The transcript is spliced from 6 exons.
CCAAUCGUUUUUUUAACCAUUUUUUUCGUCUGGAAUUUUAGAACUACUUCAUAUAAGGUGUCUGUUUUUUGUAGGCUUAUCCUGGCAUGACGUUUUGAUAACCGCGCAAAUCUCUCUCGGACAAGAACUACACAUACUGCCUCAAGCUUUGACGUCAUCACCCAAGGCACGUUUCUCCAUGCAAACUCUCAUCGACAACUAACAAGUAAACUACCAUGUAGAUACAGUAUUAUAGCCUUUGUAGUUUCUCUUAAAUUAUUGAUAGUGUGUAUUUCUCGUAGUCUUGUUUAGUAUUCUUUUAAAUAGCUAGCAACGUUUAGCAGUUUAAAAUUACUAGAUUUUCUACAUUUGUAUUGCCCUCUGGCCUUUUGUAGCGAACCUUAGGUCUCCGUCGAUCAGAAGCAAGGAUGGUUCUGUGCUAUGUACCGGAUUGUAACCACUACUCAAAAGCACACACACAUUUUGUUUUCCGACCCCGAGAGACGUCGCUGGAGCAGUGUGAUAAGGCCAACAGGAGUGUACCCCUCAGAUCAUCUGGUGCAUGGACAUCCUGUGCCAGUGGUAUGAUAUCCUGUGCCAGUGUGAUCCGAGCGCAACCGUCCAGUUGUAGACUACAGCAGAUCGAGCCUGUGGACGGAGAGUCCAACAGGAGUGUAUCCUUCAGACCAUCCGGCGCAUAGACAUCCUGCGCCAGUGUGAUCCGAGCAUGAGCGUCCAGUUAUGGAGGCUACCAGUGGUGGAAAAAGUACUCAAUUGUCAUACUUGAGUAAAAAUGAGGCGUGACAUGCGAAACAUCAGUCUCACCCCCCGAGAAGCAGUACAUGAUCAACGCCAUCCUCAGCAAGGAGAUCUGCUGGAAGUGAUGUACUCUCACUCUGGGGACAACACCCCAUCCAAUGAGUGUGAUCUGAGGACCCUGCUUCACCGACAACACCAUGCCAGCCUGGUUGCCUGCAUGCCCCAGGUGCCCUUGUUUUUGAACAAUGUCUGGUACAGGGAGAGUUGCGGUUGUUCUAGCUCAGGUUCAAGGAGACGUGCCAUUCCACUGAACCUUCCCUGGGGACGGUUCCUUACCACUGAAGAUCCUCCUCUGUGGGCUCCCGGGACAGAGAGGAUUUGUAGUCUUCGGCCAGGUACAGGUCCUCCACUGACUGCACCUGGUUGGGCCCGGCUGGCUUCCUCCUCACACUCCACAUCCAUACAGCUGAUAUUGUGAACCGCCAAAUAGGCUGCAUGGCUACACUUAUGAGCUCCAUGGGGGCAUUUGCUUGUGGUAGAGAGAAUUACCUGGUCACUUAUUAUAGAGACCUGACAAGCGGAAGGAUGUUGGAUGUUAAGUGCCACAUGCCUUUCUGUGCUUGACUUUGAACACCCUGAAAUGCAUUUGUUGUAAGAGUGCUAUAUAAGAAGUUUGACAUUACAACUGUAGAAUAUUUCAACUGUAAUUUUCACAAGGACAAGUGCAGUUUUUCCAUAAACUUUUAAUUGAUAACUUGAUUUUCACUUGACAUAUCAGUCAGUGCCCAUAAUCAAGACUGAAUAAAUACAUUGUUUUUGAA